Molecule: ribosomal RNA, 253 nt
Filed under: uncultured bacterium
Lineage: Bacteria
Description: partial 16S ribosomal RNA
Rfam family: Bacterial small subunit ribosomal RNA
Source: RNAcentral
UACGUAGGAGGCGAGCGUUGUCCGGAAUUACUGGGCGUAAAGGGCGCGUAGGCGGUUUGCAUAGUCAGACGUGAAAUUCCUGGGCUUAACCUGGGGGCUGCGUUUGAUACGUGCGGACUUGAGUGGGGAAGAGGGUCGUGGAAUUCCCAGUGUAGAGGUGAAAUUCGUAGAUAUUGGGAAGAACACCGGUGGCGAAGGCGGCGACCUGGUCCUUGACUGACGCUGAGGCGCGAAAGCGUGGGGAGCAAACAGG